This 536-nucleotide long non-coding RNA is filed under the name Ananas comosus (pineapple). Its description in RNAcentral is "long non-coding RNA (ACOM_LNC028168)". The record is from RNAcentral. Lineage: Eukaryota; Viridiplantae; Streptophyta; Magnoliopsida; Poales; Bromeliaceae.
AGUUAGUUGCAAUUGUCACAAGAGAUAUAUAUAUAUAUAUAGAGAGAGAGAGAGAUAGAGUUGAGCUAUGAUACUUUUACAAGUAUCACCAUCAUGGUGCUAUUAGGUUUUAAGCCAUUUGAUCUACUUUUGAUUAUUAAUAGCCCUUGGAUUAAACACUAUUCCACCUACCACCACCUACCACCACCUAUCACCAUCAUCUCAACCUCACAUCUCUCCAUCCAAGGACUAAAAACACACAAGUAUCACCCCCAUGAUACUUUUACAAGUAUUCUAGCCCUACUCAUAUAUAUAUAUAUAUAUAUAUAUAGUGAACUAGGCUAAUAUACUAUUAAUAGCACCAAGUAUUGGUGCUACCAAGUUUUUGACCAUUGGAUUAAGAUAUGUGCGGUUAGGAUGAUGUGGGCCCCUUGGGUUGAGUGGGUGGUUGGUUGAAUAGUAUGAUCUAACGGGUGAAAAUGAUCAAAAGGGUAGAUCUAACGGCGGAAAAUUUGGUAGCACCAAGUGCUUCAUGCUAUUAAUAGCAUAGUAGCCGG